This 253-nucleotide ribosomal RNA is filed under the name uncultured bacterium. Its description in RNAcentral is "partial 16S ribosomal RNA". It matches the Rfam family "Bacterial small subunit ribosomal RNA", at positions 524 to 776 of the family's 1533-position model. The record is from RNAcentral.
UACAGAGGGGGCAAGCGUUGUUCGGAAUUAUUGGGCGUAAAGGGCGCGUAGGCGGCGCGGAUAGUCGGCGGUGAAAGCCCGGAGCUCAACUCCGGGUCGGCCGUCGAUACUUCCGGGCUUGAGCACUGUAGAGGCAGAUGGAAUUCCGGGUGUAGCGGUGGAAUGCGUAGAGAUCCGGAAGAACACCGGUGGCGAAGGCGGUCUGCUGGGCAGUUGCUGACGCUGAUGCGCGACAGCGUGGGGAGCAAACAGG